RNAcentral lists this unclassified non-coding RNA (233 nucleotides) under Megalaria alleniae. Its description in RNAcentral is "Megalaria allenae partial contains 5.8S ribosomal RNA, internal transcribed spacer 2, and large subunit ribosomal RNA". Lineage: Eukaryota; Fungi; Ascomycota; Lecanoromycetes; Lecanorales; Megalariaceae. The record is from RNAcentral.
CGCACAUUGCGCCCCACGGUACCCCGUGGGGCAUGCCUGUUCGAGCGUCAUUGCACCAAUCAAGCUUGCUUGGAAUUGGGCUCGCCCCCUGGGCGUGCCUGAAAAACAUAGGCGGUCCCGUGCGGCUUUGAGCGUAGUAAAUUCUCUCCCGCUUUGAAAGCUCGCAUCGCGGCUGGCCUUGCGCGCCCUUUAGAAUUGACCUCGGAUCAGGUAGGGAUACCCGCUGAACUUAA